GUUCUGUGACGGCGUACCUUUUGUAUAAUGGGUCAGCGACUUAUGUUCAGUGGCGAGGUUAACCGUUUAGGGGAGCCGUAGGGAAACCGAGUCUGAAUAGGGCGAAUUAGUCGCUGGGCAUAGACCCGAAACCGGGCGAUCUAUCCAUGAGCAGGUUGAAGGUGCCGUAACAGGCACUGGAGGACCGAACCCAC
RNAcentral lists this ribosomal RNA (194 nucleotides) under Nephroselmis pyriformis. Its description in RNAcentral is "partial Bacterial large subunit ribosomal RNA". It matches the Rfam family "Bacterial large subunit ribosomal RNA", at positions 588 to 783 of the family's 2925-position model. The record is from RNAcentral. Lineage: Eukaryota; Viridiplantae; Chlorophyta; Nephroselmidophyceae; Nephroselmidales; Nephroselmidaceae.